RNAcentral lists this ribosomal RNA (429 nucleotides) under Chloroflexota bacterium. Its description in RNAcentral is "Chloroflexi bacterium partial 16S ribosomal RNA". It matches the Rfam family "Bacterial small subunit ribosomal RNA", at positions 355 to 776 of the family's 1533-position model. Lineage: Bacteria; Bacillati; Chloroflexota. The record is from RNAcentral.
UGGGGAAUAUUGCACAAUGGGCGCAAGCCUGAUGCAGCCAUGCCGCGUGUGUGAAGAAGGCCUUCGGGUUGUAAAGCACUUUCAGCGGGGAGGAAGGCGGUGAGGUUAAUAACCUCAUCGAUUGACGUUACCCGCAGAAGAAGCACCGGCUAACUCCGUGCCAGCAGCCGCGGUAAUACGGAGGGUGCAAGCGUUAAUCGGAAUUACUGGGCGUAAAGCGCACGCAGGCGGUCUGUCAAGUCGGAUGUGAAAUACCCGGGCUCAACCUGGGAACUGCAUUCGAAACUGGCAGGCUAGAGUCUUGUAGAGGGGGGUAGAAUUCCAGGUGUAGCGGUGAAAUGCGUAGAGAUCUGGAGGAAUACCGGUGGCGAAGGCGGCCCCCUGGACAAAGACUGACGCUCAGGUGCGAAAGCGUGGGGAGCAAACAGG